UACGUAGGUGGCAAGCGUUGUCCGGAUUUACUGGGUGUAAAGGGCGUGCAGCCGGGAAGACAAGUCAGAUGUGAAAUCCCGCGGCUCAACCGCGGAACUGCAUUUGAAACUGUUUUUCUUGAGUAUCGGAGAGGUAACCGGAAUUCCUAGUGUAGCGGUGAAAUGCGUAGAUAUUAGGAAGAACACCAGUGGCGAAGGCGGCUCUCUGGUCUGUAACUGACGCUGAGGUUCGAAAGCGUGGGUAGCAAACAGG
Molecule: ribosomal RNA, 253 nt
Filed under: uncultured Oscillospira sp.
Lineage: Bacteria; Bacillati; Bacillota; Clostridia; Eubacteriales; Oscillospiraceae
Description: partial 16S ribosomal RNA
Rfam family: Bacterial small subunit ribosomal RNA
Source: RNAcentral